This is a non-coding RNA of Danio rerio (zebrafish), 828 nucleotides long. The record is from RefSeq and is a predicted model, not a curated record. Lineage: Eukaryota; Metazoa; Chordata; Actinopteri; Cypriniformes; Danionidae.
AGCUGCUGCGGCACUGGGAGAACACUGCUGAGCUGUGCAGUUUGUACUGCCAGUGAGCGCGCAGAGAGGAGGAGGGGGAGCAAGAGAUAGAAAAAGAGAGAGAGAGAGUGCAGGAGAAUGAAGCAGGGAGAGAGAGCGAACAAUGUCAUUCCAUUCAGCAGGCAAUGCUGCAGUCAACUUUACAGCACCGGAGGAGAAGACACAGCCGCUUGUGCAUCAUCCCUGCAAGACCCAGAGAGGAGCGGAAGCUGAAAGCUGAAGCAGAGGGCGCUGUGCAGAGCAACCAGAACAUGCCUUGACUUGUACCCACUUCUCAGAAAGAAGUUGAGGCUUGUGGUCAGCAACAUUAACUGUGUUUGCCAUCUCAUCCAACUGACCAGUGAAAGACUGGAUAUUAGGAAACUGGAUAUUGGGACAGACUGAAGUGACAAAUAACUAUCACCCAAGUCUCUGCACUGGACCGGAAGUUUCCUGACCUCACCACUACUGAUUGGACUUCUGAUGUCGUCAUAACCAGGAGAAUGAAGGUGAGACGGUUUGCUAGACUUGUUUACGGACUGUCAGACGUUUGUACAUUUAUUUGGUGGUUACUCCGUGAACCAGUGGUUAACUCUCAAGCACCUCGGCUGAUGCCAGAAGCAUGAGUGUGCUGAUAGUAAUGUAUUUCACUGGCUGAAAGGUGGGCUGUGUGAAUUAUUAAUGCUUUCUAGCUCUACAAAUAGAGCUUGCAUUGAUCAACAGUCUCUGGAGUAAACCGAUAUUGUUUAGGAAUGCAAUGUUUGCACUUUGUCUCCCCAUAUAGCCUUGCAAAGACUUGAAGUUCUUGCU